GAUGAACGCUGGCGGCGUGCUUAACACAUGCAAGUCGAACGGGAAUUAUUUUAUUGACACUUCGGUCGAUUUAAUUUAAUUCUAGUGGCGGACGGGUGAGUAACGCGUGGGUAACCUGCCUUAUACAGGGGGAUAACAGUCAGAAAUGGCUGCUAAUACCGCAUAAGCGCACCGAGCUGCAUGGCUCAGUGUGAAAAACUCCGGUGGUAUAAGAUGGACCCGCGUUGGAUUAGCUGGUUGGUGGGGUAACGGCCCACCAAGGCGACGAUCCAUAGCCGGCCUGAGAGGGUGAACGGCCACAUUGGGACUGAGACACGGCCCAGACUCCUACGGGAGGCAGCAGUGGGGAAUAUUGCACAAUGGGGGAAACCCUGAUGCAGCGACGCCGCGUGAAGGAAGAAGUAUCUCGGUAUGUAAACUUCUAUCAGCAGGGAAGAUAGUGACGGUACCUGACUAAGAAGCCCCGGCUAACUACGUG
Molecule: ribosomal RNA, 478 nt
Filed under: uncultured bacterium
Lineage: Bacteria
Description: partial 16S ribosomal RNA
Rfam family: Bacterial small subunit ribosomal RNA
Source: RNAcentral